RNAcentral lists this ribosomal RNA (301 nucleotides) under uncultured bacterium. RNAcentral's name for it is "partial 16S ribosomal RNA". It matches the Rfam family "Bacterial small subunit ribosomal RNA", at positions 512 to 808 of the family's 1533-position model. The record is from RNAcentral.
CAUAGCCGCGGGAAAACGGAGGGGGCUAGCGUUGUUCGGAAUUACUGGGCGUAAAGCGCACGUAGGCUGCUUUGUAAGUUAGAGGUGAAAGCCUGGUGCUCAACACCAGAACUGCCUUUAAGACUGCAGAGCUAGAACGUCGGAGAGGUGAGUGGAAUUCCGAGUGUAGAGGUGAAAUUUGUAGAUAUUCGGAAGAACACCAGUGGCGAAGGCGGCUCACUGGACGACUGUUGACGCUGAGGUGCGAAAGCGUGGGGAGCAAACAGGAUUAGAUACCCCUGUAGUCCCUGUCUCUUAUACA